AAUGGGCGAAAGCCUGAUCCAGCCAUGCCGCGUGAGUGAAGAAGGCCUUCGGGUUGUAAAGCUCUUUCAGCCGGAAAGAAAUCGCGCAGGCUAAUACUCUGCGUGGAUGACGGUACCGGAAGAAGAAGCACCGGCUAACUACGUGCCAGCAGCCGCGGUGAUACGUAGGGUGCGAGCGUUAAUCGGAAUUACUGGGCGUAAAGCGUGCGCAGGCGGUUAUAUAAGACAGAUGUGAAAUCCCCGGGCUCAACCUGGGAACUGCGUUUGUGACUGUAUGACUAGAGUACGGCAGAGGGAGGUGGAAUUCCGCGUGUAGCAGUGAAAUGCGUAGAUAUGCGAAGGAACACCGAUGGCGAAGGCAGCCUCCUGGGCCAGUACUGACGCUCAUGCACGAAAGCGUGGGGAGCAAA
Molecule: ribosomal RNA, 410 nt
Filed under: uncultured bacterium
Lineage: Bacteria
Description: bacterial SSU rRNA
Rfam family: Bacterial small subunit ribosomal RNA
Source: RNAcentral